AGGGUUUGAUCAUGGCUCAGAACGUACGCUGGCGGCACGCCUAACACAUGCAAGUCGAACGAAGUAGCAAUACUUAGUGGCAGACGGGUGAGUAACAUGUAGGUAUCUGCCCUUUGGCCUGGAAUAACACGAGGAAACUUGUGCUAAUACCGGAUAAGUCUUUACGGAGAAAGCUUUAUGCACCAUUGGAUGAGCCUGCACUUGAUUAGUUUGUUGGUGGGGUAAUGGCCUACCAAGACUUUGAUCAAUAGCUGAUUUGAGAGGAUGAUCAGCCACAUUGGGACUGAGACACGGCCCAAACUCCUACGGGAGGCAGCAGUGGGGAAUCUUGCACAAUGGAGGAAACUCUGAUGCAGCGAUGCCGCGUGAGUGAAGAAGGCCUUUGGGUUGUAAAGCUCUUUCGUCGGGGAAGAAAAUGACUGUACCCGAAUAAGAAGGUCCGGCUAACUUCGUGCCAGCAGCCGCGGUAAUACGAAGGGACCUAGCGUAGUUCGGAAUUACUGGGCUUAAAGAGUUCGUAGGUGGUUGAAAAAGUUGGUGGUGAAAUCCCAGAGCUUAACUCUGGAACUGCCAUCAAAACUUUUCAGCUAGAGUUUGAUAGAGGAAAGCAGAAUUUCUAGUGUAGAGGUGAAAUUCGUAGAUAUUAGAAAGAAUACCAAUUGCGAAGGCAGCUUUCUGGAUCAUUACUGACACUGAGGAACGAAAGCAUGGGUAGCGAAGAGGAUUAGAUACCCUCGUAGUCCAUGCCGUAAACGAUGUGUGUUAGACGUUGGAAAUUUAUUUUCAGUGUCGCAGCGAAAGCGAUAAACACACCGCCUGGGGAGUACGACCGC
RNAcentral lists this ribosomal RNA (833 nucleotides) under uncultured bacterium. RNAcentral's name for it is "bacterial SSU rRNA". It matches the Rfam family "Bacterial small subunit ribosomal RNA", at positions 8 to 889 of the family's 1533-position model. The record is from RNAcentral.